Equus quagga is the source of this 507-nucleotide long non-coding RNA. RefSeq lists it as uncharacterized. The transcript has 3 exons. The record is from RefSeq and is a predicted model, not a curated record. Lineage: Eukaryota; Metazoa; Chordata; Mammalia; Perissodactyla; Equidae.
UCUUCUCCUUUCAGCUCCCACCCUGGAGGCCGGUCACCGAGGGCCUUUGAGGACAAAGUGGAGUUUCCAAAGGCCAGAGCUGCAAGCUUCACAGACACAGCUGCAGCCAGGCACCCAGGUGACCAGUUAUCUGCUGCUGCAGCUGGACCAGUUGGACUGUGGUGACGGCAAAGCCAGGCUUGGCCUUUGCUCCACCACCUGGAGCUUUAGAGCCCACGGUCUCUUCAGAAAUCAGUGGCCGCUCUUCCAAGGACUGGGUUUCGAUGCUUCCCUCAGAGGAAAGAAACCUCCCAAGCUGGAGGGUGAUGCUCUUGAGGGCUCAGCUGCCUUAAGUGCCCAGAAACAGAAGAUUAUCAAAAGAAAACUGCUCUUCAACAAGUGGAGGAUAACAUGCAAUUUCCCCAGCCUUCAGCUGAGGGUACUGAGAUACCAAGAUCUCUGGAACUAAGGAAAGAUAUUACUGAUUUGAAAGAAACCGCAUCACAAAAAGUACCAUUUUCACUUGAU